UCACCCAGCAAUCAGUCGUCCUCCAGUGACCCGGGACCUGGCGGGAGUGGACCGUGGAGACCGCAAGUGGCCUAUGACGGGUGCCAGUCUCCCCUGCUGCUGGAGCACCAGAGCUCAGGCCCCGUGGAGUGCGACGGAGCCCAUGAGCGGGAGGACACGGUGGAAGGAAGCCGACACCCGGAAACCAAAUGGCAUGGCCCACCUUCCAAAGUCCUGAGUUCCUAUAAAGAAAGAGCCCUGCAGAAAGAUGGA
Molecule: long non-coding RNA, 252 nt
Organism: Galeopterus variegatus (Sunda flying lemur)
Lineage: Eukaryota; Metazoa; Chordata; Mammalia; Dermoptera; Cynocephalidae
Exons: 3
Source: RefSeq, a predicted model, not a curated record